This 1078-nucleotide ribosomal RNA is filed under the name Lactobacillus amylovorus. Its description in RNAcentral is "bacterial SSU rRNA". It matches the Rfam family "Bacterial small subunit ribosomal RNA", at positions 196 to 1262 of the family's 1533-position model. Lineage: Bacteria; Bacillati; Bacillota; Bacilli; Lactobacillales; Lactobacillaceae. The record is from RNAcentral.
GCUUUUGAAAGGCGGCGUAAGCUGUCGCUAAGGGAUGGCCCCGCGGUGCAUUAGCUAGUUGGUAAGGUAACGGCUUACCAAGGCGACGAUGCAUAGCCGAGUUGAGAGACUGAUCGGCCACAUUGGGACUGAGACACGGCCCAAACUCCUACGGGAGGCAGCAGUAGGGAAUCUUCCACAAUGGACGCAAGUCUGAUGGAGCAACGCCGCGUGAGUGAAGAAGGUUUUCGGAUCGUAAAGCUCUGUUGUUGGUGAAGAAGGAUAGAGGUAGUAACUGGCCUUUAUUUGACGGUAAUCAACCAGAAAGUCACGGCUAACUACGUGCCAGCAGCCGCGGUAAUACGUAGGUGGCAAGCGUUGUCCGGAUUUAUUGGGCGUAAAGCGAGCGCAGGCGGAAAAAUAAGUCUAAUGUGAAAGCCCUCGGCUUAACCGAGGAACUGCAUCGGAAACUGUUUUUCUUGAGUGCAGAAGAGGAGAGUGGAACUCCAUGUGUAGCGGUGGAAUGCGUAGAUAUAUGGAAGAACACCAGUGGCGAAGGCGGCUCUCUGGUCUGCAACUGACGCUGAGGCUCGAAAGCAUGGGUAGCGAACAGGAUUAGAUACCCUGGUAGUCCAUGCCGUAAACGAUGAGUGCUAAGUGUUGGGAGGUUUCCGCCUCUCAGUGCUGCAGCUAACGCAUUAAGCACUCCGCCUGGGGAGUACGACCGCAAGGUUGAAACUCAAAGGAAUUGACGGGGGCCCGCACAAGCGGUGGAGCAUGUGGUUUAAUUCGACGCAACGCGAAGAACCUUACCAGGUCUUGACAUCUAGUGCAAUCUGUAGAGAUACGGAGUUCCCUUCGGGGACGCUAAGACAGGUGGUGCAUGGCUGUCGUCAGCUCGUGUCGUGAGAUGUUGGGUUAAGUCCCGCAACGAGCGCAACCCUUGUUAUUAGUUGCCAGCAUUAAGUUGGGCACUCUAAUGAGACUGCCGGUGACAAACCGGAGGAAGGUGGGGAUGACGUCAAGUCAUCAUGCCCCUUAUGACCUGGGCUACACACGUGCUACAAUGGGCAGUACAACGAGAAGCAAGCCUGCGAAG